Molecule: ribosomal RNA, 405 nt
Filed under: Vibrio sp. R-610
Lineage: Bacteria; Pseudomonadati; Pseudomonadota; Gammaproteobacteria; Vibrionales; Vibrionaceae
Description: bacterial SSU rRNA
Rfam family: Bacterial small subunit ribosomal RNA
Source: RNAcentral
UAAUGGCUCACCAAGGCGACGAUCCCUAGCUGGUCUGAGAGGAUGAUCAGCCACACUGGAACUGAGACACGGUCCAGACUCCUACGGGAGGCAGCAGUGGGGAAUAUUGCACAAUGGGCGCAAGCCUGAUGCAGCCAUGCCGCGUGUGUGAAGAAGGCCUUCGGGUUGUAAAGCACUUUCAGUCGUGAGGAAGGUAGUGUAGUUAAUAGCUGCAUUACUUGACGUUAGCGACAGAAGAAGCACCGGCUAACUCCGUGCCAGCAGCCGCGGUAAUACGGAGGGUGCGAGCGUUAAUCGGAAUUACUGGGCGUAAAGCGCAUGCAGGUGGUUUGUUAAGUCAGAUGUGAAAGCCCGGGGCUCAACCUCGGAAUAGCAUUUGAAACUGGCAGACUAGAGUACUGUAGA